Molecule: ribosomal RNA, 849 nt
Filed under: uncultured bacterium
Lineage: Bacteria
Description: bacterial SSU rRNA
Rfam family: Bacterial small subunit ribosomal RNA
Source: RNAcentral
AGAGUUUGAUCAUGGCUCAGGAUGAACGCUAGCGGCAGGCCUAACACAUGCAAGUCGAGGGGUAGAAGGAGCUUGCUCCUUUGAGACCGGCGCACGGGUGCGUAACGCGUAUGCAAUCUACCUUUUACAGGGGGAUAGCCCAGAGAAAUUUGGAUUAAUACCUCAUAGUAUAUUGAAAUGGCAUCAUUUUAAUAUUAAAGUUCCAACGGUAAAGGAUGAGCAUGCGUCCCAUUAGUUAGUUGGUAAGGUAACGGCUUACCAAGACAAUGAUGGGUAGGGGUCCUGAGAGGGAGAUCCCCCACACUGGUACUGAGACACGGACCAGACUCCUACGGGAGGCAGCAGUGAGGAAUAUUGGGCAAUGGAGGCAACUCUGACCCAGCCAUGCCGCGUGCAGGAAGACGGUCCUAUGGAUUGUAAACUGCUUUUAUACGGGAAGAAACACCACUACGUGUAGUGACUUGACGGUACCGUAAGAAUAAGGAUCGGCUAACUCCGUGCCAGCAGCCGCGGUAAUACGGAGGAUCCAAGCGUUAUCCGGAAUCAUUGGGUUUAAAGGGUCCGUAGGCGGCCUUAUAAGUCAGUGGUGAAAUCUCCUAGCUCAACUAGGAAACUGCCAUUGAUACUGUAGGGCUUGAAUUAUUAGGAAGUAACUAGAAUAUGUAGUGUAGCGGUGAAAUGCUUAGAUAUUACAUGGAAUACCAAUUGCGAAGGCAGGUUACUACUAAUGGAUUGACGCUGAUGGACGAAAGCGUGGGGAGCGAACAGGAUUAGAUACCCUGGUAGUCCACGCCGUAAACGAUGGAUACUAGCUGUUGGGAGCGAUCUCAGUGGCUAAGCGAAAGUGAU